Long non-coding RNA from Aethalodelphis obliquidens (Pacific white-sided dolphin), 405 nucleotides. RefSeq lists it as uncharacterized. The transcript has 5 exons. Lineage: Eukaryota; Metazoa; Chordata; Mammalia; Artiodactyla; Delphinidae. The record is from RefSeq and is a predicted model, not a curated record.
CGAGGUCCGGAAUCCCGGGUCUGGGGUCCUGGCCGGGAGGGUUCAGGCCUGGCUCCUGGGGUCCUGGCUUCGAGCAGGGAGGUGGCCCGGGGACCGGUUUUCGCGCUGGCUCUGCGCGGUGUCUGUCAUCUCGGCCAGGAGUUGCACCCAUACCUCCCAUAAAGGCCUCAAUAUCCCUACCCUAAAUUGGAAGAGUAAGGAGGAUACAUCACAGUUCUGCCACUCAGUAGCUAUAUUACAUUGGUAGGUUCUUCAAUAAUUGAUGGUGAUGAUGAUGGAAAUGGUCUUCCCUGGAUGGAACGUCAUACAUGCUGUUUGAUGACUCAUCAAAAGAGAAGAUCACAGGUGCCUGCAUAAAAGGCCUCUCACCGCUGUGGCCUCUCCCAUUGCAGAGCACAGGCUCCG